CUCCUUUGACGUUAGCGGCGGACGGGUGAGUAACACGUGGAUAACCUACCUAUAAGACUGGGAUAACUUCGGGAAACCGGAGCUAAUACCGGAUAAGAUUUUGAACCGCAUGGUUCAAUAGUGAAAGACGGCCUUGCUGUCACUUAUAGAUGGAUCCGCGCCGUAUUAGCUAGUUGGUAAGGUAACGGCUUACCAAGGCAACGAUACGUAGCCGACCUGAGAGGGUGAUCGGCCACACUGGAACUGAGACACGGUCCAGACUCCUACGGGAGGCAGCAGUAGGGAAUCUUCCGCAAUGGGCGAAAGCCUGACGGAGCAACGCCGCGUGAGUGAUGAAGGUCUUCGGAUCGUAAAACUCUGUUAUCAGGGAAGAACAAACGUGUAAGUAACUGUGCACGUCUUGACGGUACCUGAUCAGAAAGCCACGGCUAACUACGUGCCAGCAGCCGCGGUAAUACGUAGGUGGCAAGCGUUAUCCGGAAUUAUUGGGCGUAAAGCGCGCGUAGGCGGUUUUUUAAGUCUGAUGUGAAAGCCCACGGCUCAACCGUGGAGGGUCAUUGGAAACUGGAAAACUUGAGUGCAGAAGAGGAAAGUGGAAUUCCAUGUGUAGCGGUGAAAUGCGCAGAGAUAUGGAGGAACACCAGUGGCGAAGGCGACUUUCUGGUCUGUAACUGACGCUGAUGUGCGAAAGCGUGGGGAUCAAACAGGAUUAGAUACCCUGGUAGUCCACGCCGUAAACGAUGAGUGCUAAGUGUUAGGGGGUUUCCGCCCCUUUAGUGC
This 780-nucleotide ribosomal RNA is filed under the name Staphylococcus pasteuri. Its description in RNAcentral is "bacterial SSU rRNA". It matches the Rfam family "Bacterial small subunit ribosomal RNA", at positions 81 to 846 of the family's 1533-position model. The record is from RNAcentral. Lineage: Bacteria; Bacillati; Bacillota; Bacilli; Caryophanales; Staphylococcaceae.